This 38-nucleotide transfer RNA is filed under the name Pseudocayratia pengiana. Its description in RNAcentral is "partial tRNA-Phe". The record is from RNAcentral. RNAcentral also lists the same sequence under 2 other names. Lineage: Eukaryota; Viridiplantae; Streptophyta; Magnoliopsida; Vitales; Vitaceae.
UAUUUUUAAUUGACAUAGACCAAGUCAUCUAGUAAAAU